CAGUUACUUUGGGAAAACAUGCCAUCAUCCCACACAGUUGAGGACGCCCCACGCGAGACCCGCCCAGCCCAGCCCCCGAUGCCGACAGUCUUCAGAUGAGCUCGUGCGCGCGUGGGAAGUCCUACAGGCUGUUGUGUUUGGGCCUCGAUGUUGACAACACAGCCCAGGCAGGCCCAUGGCUGGGAGAUAAGCCUAUAGGAAAAGAAAGGCAGAAGUUAUCCACAUUACCUUCCGGGGAGUCCUCCCUAGCCUAGGAGCUGCCUACUGUUAUCAUCCAGCUUCAGGCAAGAAAGCAGGCUCAGUGAGAGCGGUCUGCUUCAGGAAGUGUUACGUUGGGUUUGCCUCGCCUACGUCGUCCUCUUUAAUCAUCCAACGGCUAACCGAUGGAAAUGAAAACGCUACCUCUGGCAGCACAGCAACUGGCCACACUGCCUGGCAGCAGAGGAGCCGAGUGGCCCGGGGUCGUGAGUCUGGCCCGGGGGUGGGGGGCGGGGUGCUUCCCGAUGGAUGGACCACAGCGCAGCCAGCUGCCGACCUGAGGAGCUGGGUGUAAUUA
Long non-coding RNA from Felis catus (domestic cat), 556 nucleotides. RefSeq lists it as uncharacterized. Lineage: Eukaryota; Metazoa; Chordata; Mammalia; Carnivora; Felidae. The transcript has 4 exons. The record is from RefSeq and is a predicted model, not a curated record.